Molecule: long non-coding RNA, 615 nt
Organism: Arabidopsis lyrata subsp. lyrata
Lineage: Eukaryota; Viridiplantae; Streptophyta; Magnoliopsida; Brassicales; Brassicaceae
Exons: 3
Source: RefSeq, a predicted model, not a curated record
CGAUUUCUCUUCUUCUCUUUGAUUUUGUUCCCCGACGAUUUAGAGCUUGUUCCCAGACGAUUUCGAGCUUCUAAUUCGAUCUUGUUCCCCGAAGAUUUCGAGUUUGUUCCCAGAAGAUUAUCACCCACUUGUGUCAAUCAGAAGUACAUGCCAGAAUUAGCUGCCCUUUUCCCUCAUAUACUUGUCGACGUCAGUAGCGUCAAGGCUCUAUGCUCCCGAUGGUUCCCCAUAGAGAAAAGGAGAGCUCCUGCAAAGAAAAACAACCACAGAGCCAUGGAUUAUAUAAGAGAAACCAUAAAGGAACUUAAGUACUACAAGAAAACAAUAUUCAAAGCAAGGAAAUGAGUGGAGUUAGGUCCUGCAAUAUGCUUUGGUUUUUUAUGAAGAAGGAGAAGAAGGAGAAGAAGGAGAAGAAGAAGAACAUAUUGCAUAUGAGCCGACCGGUGAUAGAGCGAUGGAAGCUUGGCGUGACAACAUCACGAAUGAAUGUAAUAGAGGUCGUUUACCUUAUUAGAUAUUUUUAGUUUUUUUGUUUAUGACUUGGUUUAUUAUUUUUAGUUAAUAACUUUGUCAAUCUUUUUUCGUUUAUGACUUGGUGUAUUACGUUUAGUUAAA